Molecule: ribosomal RNA, 253 nt
Filed under: uncultured bacterium
Lineage: Bacteria
Description: partial 16S ribosomal RNA
Rfam family: Bacterial small subunit ribosomal RNA
Source: RNAcentral
UACGGGGGGGGCAAGCGUUGUUCGGAAUUACUGGGCGUAAAGGGCGCGUGGGCGGUUGGAUAAGUCAGCUGUGAAAACCACGGGCUUAACUCGUGGCCUGCAGUUGAGACUGUCUGGCUUGAGUGUGGGAGGGGAGAGUGGAAUUCCUGGUGUAGCGGUGAAAUGCGUAGAUAUCAGGAGGAACACCGGUGGCGAAGGCGGCUCUCUGGACCACAACUGACGCUGAGGCGCGAAAGCUAGGGGAGCAAACAGG